GCGUGUGACCCUUCGGGGACCUUACACAGGUGCUGCAUGGCCGUCGUCAGCUCGUGUCGUGAGAUGUUUGGUUAAGUCCAGCAACGAGCGCAACCCCUGUGAAUAGUUGCCAGCACGUAAUGGUGGGGACUCUAUUCAGACUGCCCAGGUCAACUGGGAGGAAGGUGGGGAUGACGUCAGGUCAGUAUGGCCCUUACGCCUUGGGCUGCACACGUACUACAAUGCCCAGUACAAUGAGAACCGAUACCGCGAGGUGGAGGAAAUCUGCAAAACUGGGCCCAGUUCGGAUUGGAGGCUGCAACUCGCCUCCAUGAAGUUGGAAUCGCUAGUAAUGGCACAUCAGCUACGGUGCCGUGAAUACGUUCCCGGGUCUUGUACACACCG
RNAcentral lists this ribosomal RNA (384 nucleotides) under uncultured bacterium. RNAcentral's name for it is "bacterial SSU rRNA". It matches the Rfam family "Bacterial small subunit ribosomal RNA", at positions 1008 to 1392 of the family's 1533-position model. The record is from RNAcentral.